UGCACAGCUCCAUGCCUCUGAGAAUGUGA
This 29-nucleotide non-coding RNA is filed under the name Mus musculus (house mouse). The record is from RNAcentral. RNAcentral also lists the same sequence under 1 other name. Lineage: Eukaryota; Metazoa; Chordata; Mammalia; Rodentia; Muridae.